Ricinus communis (castor bean) is the source of this 2420-nucleotide long non-coding RNA. RefSeq lists it as uncharacterized. Lineage: Eukaryota; Viridiplantae; Streptophyta; Magnoliopsida; Malpighiales; Euphorbiaceae. The transcript has 2 exons. The record is from RefSeq and is a predicted model, not a curated record.
AUCAAAGUGCUUUCCUUCCAAACAGACUUAUAACCGAUGAUGCAAUUAUUAGAUUUGAGUGUAUCCAUGCUUUGAAACAUUGGAAGAGGAAGGAUGAUGGUUUUCUUGCUCUCAAACUCGAUAUGUCUAAAGCAUUUAACAGAGUGAAAUGGUUGUUUAUUGAGAAAAUGACGCUUAAACUCGGUUUUUCUAUAUCCUUGACCUCUAAGAUUUUGAAUUAUGUUUCAUCGAUUUUAUUUUCCUAUCUAAUUAAUGGAGAGGUAAGGGGUUAUCUAACCCCUUCAAAAGGUCUCCGUCAGGGAGACCCUCUCUCCUUAUUUAUUUUUAAUUUGUGUAGAAGGCCUUUAAUCGUUGUUAAGGAAUGUAGAAGCUUUAAGUUUAAUUCAUGGAUUUCUUUUUGGAGCAAAUGGAUUAAGCAUCUCCCACCUUUUUUUCGCGGAUGAUAGCUUUCUAUUUCUGAAAGCUAACAUGAGCAAGUGUGCUGCAAUUAAAGAAAUCCUUGAGUUAUAUGCCAGGGUCUUAGGCCAAGUUAUUAACUUUAAUAAAUCUGCAGUUUGUUUUUAUAAACUUGUUCCUAGUCAUAUUGCUAAUGAUAUGGUCAAUACUCUUAAUAUGGAAAAAAUGGAGUGUCGUGAGCAUUACUUGGGUCUUCCUAGCUUUGCAGGCGGGUGUAAAAGAUCCUUAUUUGCAGAUAUUAAGGACAAACUAAAAGGGUGAAAGUCUAAGCUUUUCUCUGCGAGUUGUUGAAAGGUCCUCUUGAAGGUUAUUGUUCAAUCCAUCUCGGCUUACUCCAUGUACAUAUUUAGGCUGCCUAAAUCACUCAUAGACGAGCUCUAUCAUCUUUGUGCACGAUUUUGGUAGGGCGGAGAUGACAAAAAGAGGAAACUCCACUAGUGUAACUAGUGAUCAUUUUGUCACAACAAAAAGGCUAAGAAGUCAAGUAAAACAUCUUUUAUUUAGAGGAGCAUCCUUUGGGGGAGGGAAAUUAUUGAGCAAGGAUUAUUUUGGUGCAUUGGAGACGGCAACUCAAUAUCUAUAUACAGUGACAGAUGGAUUUCCUUACUGUUCGAGUUUAAGCCCUUCUCGCGCAAGAUGUUAGACGUGGAGACCCGAGUUAGUGAUCUAAUUAUUGAGUCUGGAAGGUAGAAUAAAAGGAUGAUAAAGGAAGCCUUCUUUCUUGAGAAAGCAGAGGAUAUCCUCCAAAUCCCUCUCAUAUGAGGCCAUAGGCCACCGGUUCUUUGAUGGCAUUUUGAUAAACAUGGUAACUAUAGUGUGAAUAGUGGCUAUUGGUUAGCAAUGGAGCUUAAUGGGAAUACAAGCUACUCAUCGCAUUUGAACGCUAGUUCAUGUUGGACAAAAAUAUGGAAGAUGUUUUUGCCAUCCAAAAUCAAGAUUUUUCUAUGUAAAGCUUGUCACAACUGGAUUCCGAAUGUUGAUGAUCUAUGUCCUCUUUAUGGCAUUGAUAAAGAGACAACUUUCCAUGCUCUGUAGGGCUGCAAUUGUCUAUCUCAGGUACGUAAAUCUGUUGACUUCAUACAAGAUUGUGACAUUGAAUCUUUAUGUGAUUUUCAGGACUUCUUUACAAUGUGUUUGUAUCGUCUGAAUGAGGAAGAAACAAACAAGAUUGUUGUUAUAAUAUGGAGAAUCUAGUUUCGAAGGAAUAUUGUUGUUCAUUCAAAGAAGCUGUUGCCGGUGAAUGAAGUCAUAGCCUGGGUUUAGGACGAUAUUACAGAUAUAUGUAAUGCUAAUCCUAAGCUUCCCUGCAAAAUAGAAUUACUCAAUCUUGGAGACAUACAUACUUAAAUAGUGUGAAAUUCAAUAUGGAUGAUGUUGUCAAUAAAGAUAAGAGAAUUGUUCGCCUUGGAAUGGUGGCUCGUGAUUGCCAUGGCAAGGUGAUUAUGUCGAGCUCCAAGCCAAUCAACCAGCUGCUCUCGGUGGACCUGGCUGAAGCAGUAGAAAUCAAAUGGGGCCUAUCAAAAGCCUUAUAAAGUGGCAUUAUUCUAGCUGUGGUGGAAUCAGAUUCACUUGGUAUUGUCUAAGCAAUACCUCUCAUGAGAAUUCCCUUGUCGAAGCUGGAAUUAUUGUGAAGGACAUUAUUAAUCUUUGUGAUAGUAUUCCCUCGCGUGCUGUUAAGUUCACACUGAACAAUGGUAAUCAGGUUGCCAAUGGACUUUCUAAACAAGCUUUUAAUUGUCAUUCAGAGAUGGUUUGGUUUCAAAAGGUCCCUCAGUAUAUUCAUCAUCUUGCGCUGGCAGAUGCCAAGCUAAGAUCCCAGUUUUGUUGGAAUGAAUUUCCCCUUAAAAAAGUUCUUCAUUUUUUUAAGCCAUGUCGGUUGUUCUCUCAGUUUGUAGAAAUUAUUAUCUUGUCCACUAUAAAAUAAACUAAGACUAAUUACAACUCCAUCAUAGAUUACAUGACUA